RNAcentral lists this unclassified non-coding RNA (323 nucleotides) under soil metagenome. RNAcentral describes it as "partial contains 5.8S ribosomal RNA, internal transcribed spacer 2, and large subunit ribosomal RNA". The stretch from base 3 to 120 matches the Rfam family "5.8S ribosomal RNA", at positions 37 to 154 of the family's 154-position model. The record is from RNAcentral.
GGUGAAGAACGCAGCGAAAUGCGAUAAGUAGUGUGAAUUGCAGAAUUCAGUGAAUCAUCGAAUCUUUGAACGCACAUUGCGCCCCUUGGUAUUCCAUGGGGCAUGCCUGUUCGAGCGUCAUUUGUACCUUCAAGCUUUGCUUGGUGUUGGGUGUUUGUCCUGAGGGACUCGCCUUAAAGUAAUUGGCAGCCAGUGUUUGGUUUUGAAGCGCAGCACAAGUCGCGAUUCAAAGCUAUACGCCCGCUUCCACAAGCCUUUUUCACUUUUGACCUCGGAUCAGGUAGGGAUACCCGCUGAACUUAAGCAUAUCAAUAAGCGGAGGA